This 824-nucleotide ribosomal RNA is filed under the name uncultured bacterium. RNAcentral describes it as "bacterial SSU rRNA". It matches the Rfam family "Bacterial small subunit ribosomal RNA", at positions 56 to 897 of the family's 1533-position model. The record is from RNAcentral.
UGCAAGUCGAGCGGAAAGGCCCUUCGGGGUACUCGAGCGGCGAACGGGUGAGUAACACGUGAGCAACCUGCCCCUGGCUCUGGGAUAACCCCGGGAAACCGGGGCUAAUACCGGAUACCCACGCACUGCCGCAUGACGGUGCGUGAAAAGUUUUUCGGCUGGGGAUGGGCUCGCGGCCUAUCAGCUUGUUGGUGGGGUAACGGCCUACCAAGGCUUUGACGGGUAGCCGGCCUGAGAGGGCGACCGGCCACACUGGGACUGAGAUACGGCCCAGACUCCUACGGGAGGCAGCAGUGGGAAUAUUGCACAAUGGGCGCAAGCCUGAUGCAGCGACGCCGCGUGAGGGAAGAAGGCCUUCGGGUCGUAAACCUCUUUCGGCAGGGACGAAGCGCAAGUGACGGUACCUGAAGAAGAAGCGCCGGCCAACUACGUGCCAGCAGCCGCGGUAAGACGUAGGGCGCAAGCGUUGUCCGGAUUUAUUGGGCGUAAAGAGCUCGUAGGCGGCCUGUCGCGUCGACUGUGAAAACCCGCGGCUCAACCGCGGGACUGCAGUCGAUACGGGCAGGCUAGAGUUCGGUAGGGGAGACUGGAAUUCCUGGUGUAGCGGUGAAAUGCGCAGAUAUCAGGAGGAACACCGGUGGCGAAGGCGGGUCUCUGGGCCGAUACUGACGCUGAGGAGCGAAAGCGUGGGGAGCGAACAGGAUUAGAUACCCUGGUAGUCCACGCUGUAAACGAUGGAUACUAGGUGUGGGAGGUAUCGACCCCUUCCGUGCCGCAGUUAACGCAAUAAGUAUCCCGCCUGGGGAGUACGGCCGCAAGGUGAA